UACAGAGGGUGCAAGCGUUGUUCGGAAUUAUUGGGCGUAAAGCGCGUGUAGGCGGCUUUGCAAGUCGGGUGUGAAAGCCCUCAGCUCAACUGAGGAAGUGCGCCCGAAACUGCAGAGCUUGAGUACCGGAGAGGAUGGCGGAAUUCCCCAAGUAGAGGUGAAAUUCGUAGAUAUGGGGAGGAAUACCGGUGGCGAAGGCGGCAUCCUGGACCGGCAUUGACGCUGAGGAGCGAAAGCCAGGGGAGCAAACGGG
Molecule: ribosomal RNA, 253 nt
Filed under: uncultured bacterium
Lineage: Bacteria
Description: partial 16S ribosomal RNA
Rfam family: Bacterial small subunit ribosomal RNA
Source: RNAcentral